AUGGGUGAUGGCAUUGAAAUCGCCAUGGAGUAUGCUGAUGAUAUUUUGAUGCCACAACUUGACAACUCAGUUCCCAAAGUGGACUAUGAUAAUUUCUACAAUUCUCUGAAGGCAAUAGGAAAGGUUGAUAAUGAAAUAUUCAAUGCCUAUGUCCAAGUUUUCAAUUACGAUAAUGAAAGUCCAGCUCCAAAAACUAAAGAACCUUCAAAGUAUUGCUUUACUUCCUACUUCAAGGAGAAACUGCUUCUAGAUCCCCGAAACUUCAAUUCUAGGUCUUGCCUAAGAGAAUUCAAGAAACUAUACUCGGGGAAGAGCUUACAUAAGCGUGAUCUAGUACACAUUUUUUUAUCAUUCCAUGAAACCAUCAUUUUUGCAUCUUUUUCAUCUAUACUCAUUUUUCUACUUUAA
RNAcentral lists this ribosomal RNA (408 nucleotides) under Triticum aestivum (bread wheat). Its description in RNAcentral is "partial small subunit ribosomal RNA". The record is from RNAcentral. Lineage: Eukaryota; Viridiplantae; Streptophyta; Magnoliopsida; Poales; Poaceae.